Myotis brandtii (Brandt's bat) is the source of this 103-nucleotide non-coding RNA. The record is from Rfam. Lineage: Eukaryota; Metazoa; Chordata; Mammalia; Chiroptera; Vespertilionidae.
GGCUGGUCUGAGUGCAGUGGUGUCUUACAACUAAUUGAUCACUGCCAGUUACAGAUUUCUUUGUUCCUUCUCCACUCCCACUGCUACACUUGACUAGCCUAAA